RNAcentral lists this ribosomal RNA (502 nucleotides) under Mycobacterium sp. AEOC024. RNAcentral describes it as "bacterial SSU rRNA". It matches the Rfam family "Bacterial small subunit ribosomal RNA", at positions 372 to 884 of the family's 1533-position model. Lineage: Bacteria; Bacillati; Actinomycetota; Actinomycetes; Mycobacteriales; Mycobacteriaceae. The record is from RNAcentral.
UGGGCGCAAGCCUGAUGCAGCGACGCCGCGUGAGGGAUGACGGCCUUCGGGUUGUAAACCUCUUUCGCCAGGGACGAAGCGCAAGUGACGGUACCUGGAGAAGAAGGACCGGCCAACUACGUGCCAGCAGCCGCGGUAAUACGUAGGGUCCGAGCGUUGUCCGGAAUUACUGGGCGUAAAGAGCUCGUAGGUGGUUUGUCGCGUUGUUCGUGAAAACUCACAACUCAAUUGUGGGCGUGCGGGCGAUACGGGCAGACUGGAGUACUGCAGGGGAGACUGGAAUUCCUGGUGUAGCGGUGGAAUGCGCAGAUAUCAGGAGGAACACCGGUGGCGAAGGCGGGUCUCUGGGCAGUAACUGACGCUGAGGAGCGAAAGCGUGGGGAGCGAACAGGAUUAGAUACCCUGGUAGUCCACGCCGUAAACGGUGGGUACUAGGUGUGGGUUUCCUUCCUUGGGAUCCGUGCCGUAGCUAACGCAUUAAGUACCCCGCCUGGGGAGUACG